Bos indicus x Bos taurus (hybrid cattle) is the source of this 685-nucleotide long non-coding RNA. Lineage: Eukaryota; Metazoa; Chordata; Mammalia; Artiodactyla; Bovidae. The record is from Ensembl.
CUCUAACCAUCAUGGGCUAGAUGUUGCUGAGUUUCCUGAUGAUGCUGCUGUCCCUAGGAUGCUGCCACAGAUGUCCUAGAAAUGCCAAAGCAGUGCUGUGGCCUGUUAUUACAUUGAAGAUCCAGAAGCACCUACUUUUCAUACAUUCUUCCAAGACCAAGCUGAUGUGAAGAGGGAGCAUGCAAAGCAGUUCAUAAAAUAUCUAAGAAAGUAUAAGUGUAAAAUCUGCCUUCCGGUGAUUAAGAGGCCUGAUAUAGAUAACUGGGGAACUGGUAAACAAGCUCUACUGUCUGCUCUGCAGUUGGAGAAUGAGUUAAACAAGCUCCUGCAAGACCUGAAGGCCUCAGCUUCUAGGAAUAAAGAAACCAAUCUCUUACGCUUCAUGAAAAAGUUCCUGGAUGAACAGACCAGGAACAUAAAAUAUCUGGAAUACCAGCUUAACUAUCAGAAGGAGUUGGAAAUGUCAACCCAGAGUGAAGGACAGCCUGAAAAUGCCCCCGGAACAUCUGCAGCAGCAGGUCAAGAGACAGAAUCUACAGGCAACUCUCCAAGUCCUCCUGCCCAGAAGGUCCCAAAGUCAUCUCCUUAAGAAUCCUGAUCUCCAUUUGACAGAAAUAUGCUUCUCUUUUCAUCUCAGAUCCUAAUCCUCCUGUUGUACAUGCAAAUAAAUGUGUUUUGCAUUAUG